Paramuricea clavata is the source of this 727-nucleotide non-coding RNA. NCBI's taxonomy places the organism in Eukaryota, Metazoa, Cnidaria, Anthozoa, Malacalcyonacea, Plexauridae. The record is from the annotation of a GenBank genome assembly.
CAACCCCAAAACCAACCGCCAUAACCAACCCCAAAACAACUCCAAACCCCCCCCCCCCAAACAACUCCAAAACAACCCCCAAACCAACCCCAAAACAACCCGAAAACACAACUCCAAAACAACCCCAAAACAACUCCAAAACAACCCCCCAAACAAAUCCAAAACAACCCCCAAACCAACCCCAAAACAACCCGAAAAAACAACUCCAAAACAACCCCAAAACCCGAAAACAACUCCAAAACAACCCCCAAAACAACCCCCAAAACAACCAGAAAACAACUCCAAAACAACCCCAGGAGAAAAUUGGGAAGCCCCUCUCAAACAAGGAUGAGAGUUGAUAAGAGUCACGCAUUGUUACGGGGACAUUUCAAUUGAAGCUCUAGAUUAACAAAAACUGCCAACUCUGACGCCCUCUCAUUCUCGUUUGAUGUAUAGACAUUUCAGAUCCGACUAUGAGGACUACAUUUCAAGUCCGAUUAAAAGCCCGAGACGAAGCCGAGGACUGGAUCAAAAUGCAAGUACUUGAAAUCUAGUCUAGUCCGAAGAUUUGAAAUGACAUCUCAUACGAAUAAAUCACUACUUUAAGUGAGGUGAAUGAAUUUUGAUCCAGUCCAAGGACUGAAUUUAUUUUGAUAUCCAGUCCUAAGACUGAAUCAAUAUACUUCACCCGGUAUCCAGUAUUAUCAUGUGAGCAAAAUAAGCAAUAUUGUUGGAUAAUUUACUCAUG